RNAcentral lists this ribosomal RNA (801 nucleotides) under uncultured bacterium. Its description in RNAcentral is "bacterial SSU rRNA". It matches the Rfam family "Bacterial small subunit ribosomal RNA", at positions 67 to 883 of the family's 1533-position model. The record is from RNAcentral.
CGAGUCCCGCCGCAAGGCGGGAUUAGCGGCAGACGGGUGAGUAACACGUGGGAAACCUUCCCUAAAGAGGAGGACACCCCCGAGAAAUCGGGGCUAAUACUCCAUAAGACCACAUUUCGGCAUCGGAAAGGGGUCAAAGGCGCAAGCCACUUUUGGAUGGUCCCGCGCUCUAUCAGCUAGUUGGUGAGGUAAAGGCUCACCAAGGCUAAGACGGAUAGCCGGCCUGAAAGGGUGAUCGGCCACAAUGGAACUGAGACACGGUCCAUACUCCUACGGGAGGCAGCAGUGGGGAAUCUUGGACAAUGGGCGAAAGCCCGAUCCAGCAACGCCGCGUGAAGGAUGAAGGCCUUCGGGUUGUAAACUUCUUUUGGAGGGGACGAAACAAAUGACGGUACCCUCAGAAAAAGCCACGGCUAACUACGUGCCAGCAGCCGCGGUAAUACGUAGGUGGCGAGCGUUACUCGGAAUUACUAGGCGUAAAGCGCGCGUAGGCGGUUAGAUAAGUCUAUAGUGAAAUCUCCCGGCUCAACCGGGAUAGGUCUAUGGAAACUAUCUAGCUUGAGUGUGGCAGGGGGAGACGGAAUUCCCGGUGUAGCGGUGAAAUGCGUAGAUACCGGGAGGAACACCAAUGGCGAAAGCAGUCUCCUGGGCCAAUACUGACGCUGAGGUGCGAAAGCUAGGGGAGCAAACAGGAUUAGAUACCCUGGUAGUCCUAGCUGUAAACUAUGUUCACUAGAUGUAGGAGGUAUCGACCCCUUCUGCGUCGACGCUAACGUAUUAAGUGAACCGCCUGGGGAGUAC